This is a long non-coding RNA of Clupea harengus (Atlantic herring), 1869 nucleotides long. NCBI's taxonomy places the organism in Eukaryota, Metazoa, Chordata, Actinopteri, Clupeiformes, Clupeidae. The record is from Ensembl.
CACAAAUACAGAGAGAGAGAGAGAGAGAGAGAGAAAUACAUACAUACAUUUAUCUGUAUAAACCUUGAUCAGAUUAUGUUUUCAAAUAUAUCUCUGGAUCUCACUUGAAAAAAAGUCCAAUUCAGUGGACUUUCAACCUUGGCAAAUCUAGUAUCAAGGACACAAGUGCUGUUUCUGUUCCCAUGCUGCUAGAAAUAAUUGUCAAAUUGUAAGCAAGAAAAAACACAACAGCAGGUUCUUUGCUUUUGUACCCUUGGUUAAACUAAAGGAGCAAAUCCGACCGUGCAAUGGUAGCUGACAAUGAAACUUUUUAACUCUGAGAAAUCAUUCUGACACGGAUUUCAUUUUGGCAUACUCUGCAUAGAACACAAGUUCCUUAUAAUGAAAUAGACGUGAAUGUGAUUGCAAUCAUGGAAGCUAUAUAAAUACAGCAGGCACGUCUGCGCAUGUUCAGGUUAAAGAUAUAUAAAUACAGCAGUCUGCGCAUGUUUAGGUUGUAAGCCGCAGGGUACAGAUGGACACCACCAGUGGCAAGGCUAGUUCUGAUGUAUCCUGUGCUGUGCUAGUGAGGCUAGUUGUGAUGUCUCCUGUGCUGUGCUAGUGAGGCUAGUUCUGAUGUAUCCUGUGCUGUGCUAGUGAGGCUAGUUCUGAUGUCUCCUGUGCUAUGCUAGUGAGACUAGUUCUGAUGUCUCCUGUGCUAUGCUAGUGAGGCAAGUUGUGAUGUCUCCUGUGCUAAUGCUAGUGAGGCAAGUUGUGAUGUCUCCUGUGCUGUGCUAGUGAGGCAAGUUGUGAUGUCUCCUGUGCUGUGCUAAUGCUAGUGAGGCAAGUUGUGAUGUCUCCUGUGCUCUGCUAGUGAGGCAAGUUCUGAUGUCUCCUGUGCUGUGCUGUGCUAGUGAGGCAAGUUGUGAUGUCUCCUGUGCUCUGCUAGUGAGGCAAGUUCUGAUGUCUCCUGUGCUGUGCUGUGCUAACUAGUUCUGAUGUCUCCGGUGCUCUGCUAGUGAGGCCCAAGUGGGGUGGUCACCCAGCUCUCUGAGAGCUCUGAGCUGCUCCGCAGGCUUGACAUGGUGACAAUGCAAUGCGCUGCGUCAGCCCCUGCCCCUGACAGUGAUUUAUACGGGGUGCCAAACAGCCCGAUCGGCAGCGCAGCUGACAUGCUAAUUCAUGGAAAAGAAAUGAAAUGUGACACUGUAAUUGAUCUCCAAAUGCAUAAUUGGGAAAUGCAAGGACAUGCGUUAUUUUCAGAAAGAUGUGUGCUUCUACCGCACAGACAGUUGAAGGUCUGGAGGAGUGAUUAGCAAGGCAUACAUUCCUGAAGGGCAUAGAAAAUACUGCUUAGAUAAAGCUGAUCAUUACAAUUGAGUGAGUGUGCAUGAAACACCAUAAUAAGACUACACACUGUCAAACAGUAAGUUAAGUUCGAACCUGCUGAACCUAUUAUGUUGAUCUAACAGAUUCCAACACAGAAUUGAAUUAAUCUAACUGAAUCAUGUAGGACAAAUAUUAAACAAUAAACUAAGUACACAACUGGGAAGUCAACCCCUCCUUUAUAAAUGGAUUCCAAUCAGCCUUUGCAAGAACAUUGAAGUAAUGAAUGCUUCUGAAUGUUGUUCCAGAUUUAUUCAGAAUAUGCCAUUUCUAGAAGCAGUGGCAUGGCAAUAUCUUGAUCUAGUUGCAGUGAUUUAGCAUCUUCAAUACAACCUUUAUAAGAUCACACUCAGUAUGUUCCUGCUUAUCAAACUUGCAUGACACAAUUAUGUUGAAGUUACAUGAUUAAAUAAAGAAUUCCAUUCCAUUUCAUGUCAGCUUAAUAAAAAAAAUGUAUUGGAAUUAGUUUGUCAAGUUGUGCCAGUUUUGUAAGAAACCUAAAUA